GCAGCGGGGAACCAGGGCUCUGCGGGGCUCAUGGCGAGUUAUGGAAGCUGUUACGAAUCUGCCUUAUGUAAAUGAACAAGUGCAGCAGCUAUGGUUCAAGAAGGCCAUGGUGACCAGAGGCUCAGACCCUUCAGGGAGGAGGCUCAGGGUCACCUUAUCAGCCUGGACUUUAACCACGUGGAAAGCAAGAUUAGAGGCCCCCUGAAUAGUACUGUUCACGAAGACUAAAAGGAACUGAGUGUGCCUGAGCUUAAGCAUCACGAAGACCAG
Molecule: long non-coding RNA, 270 nt
Filed under: Homo sapiens (human)
Lineage: Eukaryota; Metazoa; Chordata; Mammalia; Primates; Hominidae
Description: HSALNT0324301
Source: RNAcentral